CCCUUAGAUGUUCUGGGCCGCACGCGCGCUACACUGAUGCAUUCAACAAGCCUAGCCUUGACCGAGAGGUCCGGGUAAUCUUUGAAACUGCAUCGUGAUGGGGCUAGAUAUUGCAAUUAUUAAUCUUCAACGAGGAAUGCCUAGUAAGCGUGAUUCAUCAAAUCGCGUUGAUUACGUCCCUGCCCUUUGUACACACCGCCCGUCGCUCCUACCGAUUGAAUGUGUUGGUGAGGAGCUCGGAUUGGCAGCAGUUGGUGGUUCGCCACCGGCUAUUGCUGAGAAGUCCUCCAAACCGCCCCAUUUAGAGGAAGGAGAAGUCGUAACA
This 325-nucleotide ribosomal RNA is filed under the name uncultured eukaryote. RNAcentral's name for it is "partial 18S ribosomal RNA". It matches the Rfam family "Eukaryotic small subunit ribosomal RNA", at positions 1470 to 1796 of the family's 1831-position model. The record is from RNAcentral.